UACGGGGGGUGCGAGCGUUAAUCGGAAUAACUGGGCGUAAAGGGCACGCAGGCGGACAUUUAAGUGAGGUGUGAAAUCCCCUGGCUUAAUCUGGUAAUUGCAUUUCAUACUGGGAGUCUAGAGUACGUUAGGGAGGGGUAGAAUUCCACGUGUAGCGGUGAAAUGCGUAGAGAUGUGGAGGAAUACCGAAGGCGAAGGCAGCCCCUCGGGAAUGUACUGACGCUCAGGUGCGAAAGCGUGGGGAGCAAACAGG
This 253-nucleotide ribosomal RNA is filed under the name uncultured bacterium. RNAcentral's name for it is "partial 16S ribosomal RNA". It matches the Rfam family "Bacterial small subunit ribosomal RNA", at positions 524 to 776 of the family's 1533-position model. The record is from RNAcentral.